AUCCGGCUGGCAAGUCCCAAAUAGGACGAAACGCACGUCCUGGAU
Schistosoma rodhaini is the source of this 45-nucleotide non-coding RNA. NCBI's taxonomy places the organism in Eukaryota, Metazoa, Platyhelminthes, Trematoda, Strigeidida, Schistosomatidae. The record is from Rfam.